CAUUACAUACAAUGACUCUCGGCAACGGAUAUCUCGGCUCUUGCAUCGAUGAAGAACGUAGCAAAAUGCGAUACUUGGUGUGAAUUGCAGAAUCCCGUGAACCAUCGAGUCUUUGAACGCAAGUUGCGCCCGAAGCCAUUAGGCCGAGGGCACGCCUGCCUGGGUGUCAC
This 170-nucleotide ribosomal RNA is filed under the name Glycine latifolia. Its description in RNAcentral is "5.8S ribosomal RNA". It matches the Rfam family "5.8S ribosomal RNA". From Rfam's summary of the family: 5.8S ribosomal RNA (5.8S rRNA) is a component of the large subunit of the eukaryotic ribosome. It is transcribed by RNA polymerase I as part of the 45S precursor that also contains 18S and 28S rRNA. Functionally, it is thought that 5.8S rRNA may be involved in ribosome translocation. The record is from RNAcentral. Lineage: Eukaryota; Viridiplantae; Streptophyta; Magnoliopsida; Fabales; Fabaceae.